GAUGAACGCUGGCGGCGUGCUUAACACAUGCAAGUCGAGCGAAGCACUUAAGUUCGAUUCUUCGGAUGAAGACUUUUGUGACUGAGCGGCGGACGGGUGAGUAACGCGUGGGUAACCUGCCUCAUACAGGGGGAUAACAGUUAGAAAUGGCUGCUAAUACCGCAUAAGACCACAGUACUGCAUGGUACAGUGGUAAAAACUCCGGUGGUAUGAGAUGGACCCGCGUCUGAUUAGGUAGUUGGUGAGGUAACGGCACACCAAGCCGACAAUCAGUAGCCGACCUAGGAGGGUGACCGGCAACAUUGGGACUGAGACACGGCCCAGACUCCUACGGGAGGCAGCAGUGGGGAAUAUUGCACAAUGGGCGAAAGCCUGAUGCAGCGACGCCGCGUGAAGGAUGAAGUAUUUCGGUAUGUAAACUUCUAUCAGCAGGGAAGAAAAUGACGGUACCUGACUAAGAAGCCCCGGCUAACUACGUGCCAGCCGCCGCGGUAA
This 495-nucleotide ribosomal RNA is filed under the name uncultured bacterium. RNAcentral's name for it is "partial 16S ribosomal RNA". It matches the Rfam family "Bacterial small subunit ribosomal RNA", at positions 28 to 523 of the family's 1533-position model. The record is from RNAcentral.